RNAcentral lists this long non-coding RNA (228 nucleotides) under Elaeis guineensis (African oil palm). RNAcentral describes it as "long non-coding RNA (EGUI_LNC070301)". The record is from RNAcentral. Lineage: Eukaryota; Viridiplantae; Streptophyta; Magnoliopsida; Arecales; Arecaceae.
UACUUCAUCCAGACUCCUACGGGAGCUGGACUUCAUCCUCGACUUCAACUAUAGGAAUACUUCAUCCGGACUCCUACGAGAGCCGGACUUCAUCCCCGACUCCAACUGUAGGAAUACUUCAUCCGGACUCCUACGGGAGCCGAACUUCAUCCCCAACUUCAACUGCAGGAAUACUUCAUCCGGACUCCUAUGGGAGCCGGACUUCAUCCCCUACUCCAACUGCAGGAA